Molecule: ribosomal RNA, 253 nt
Filed under: uncultured bacterium
Lineage: Bacteria
Description: partial 16S ribosomal RNA
Rfam family: Bacterial small subunit ribosomal RNA
Source: RNAcentral
UACGUAGGGGGCAAGCGUUGUCCGGAAUUAUUGGGCGUAAAGCGCGCGCAGGCGGUCCUUUAAGUCUGAUGUGAAAGCCCACGGCUCAACCGUGGAGGGUCAUUGGAAACUGGGGGACUUGAGUGCAGAAGAGAAGAGUGGAAUUCCACGUGUAGCGGUGAAAUGCGUAGAGAUGUGGAGGAACACCAGUGGCGAAGGCGGGUUGCUGGGCUGACACUGACGCUGAGGCGCGAAAGCCAGGGGAGCGAACGGG